GGUGAACGCUAGCGGCAGGCCUAAUACAUGCAAGUCGAACGGAUAUAUGUUUUUCGGAAUAUAUAUUAGUGGCGCACGGGUGAGUAACACGUACAUAACUUGCCCUCAAGCGGGGGAUAGCCUUGGGAAACUGAGAGUAAUACCCCAUAGAAUUAUUGGACGGCAUCGUUUGAUAAUUAAAACUACGGUGUUUGGGGAUAGAUGUGCGUCUGAUUAGCUAGUUGGUGAGGUAACUGCUCACCAAGGCGACGAUCAGUAGGGGGCGUGAGAGCGUGGCCCCCCACACGGGUACUGAGACACGGACCCGACUCCUACGGGAGGCAGCAGUAAGGAAUAUUGGUCAAUGGAGGGAACUCUGAACCAGCCAUGCCGCGUGAAGGA
This 381-nucleotide ribosomal RNA is filed under the name uncultured bacterium. RNAcentral describes it as "bacterial SSU rRNA". It matches the Rfam family "Bacterial small subunit ribosomal RNA", at positions 28 to 408 of the family's 1533-position model. The record is from RNAcentral.